GUGAGUCAUCGAAUCUUUGAACGCACCUUGCGCUCCUUGGUAUUCCGAGGAGCAUGCCUGUUUGAGUGUCAUUAAAUCAUCAACCCCACCGAUUUGUUUCGGCUUGGGGCUUGGACUUGGAGCGUGCUGGCGAAGGUCGGCUCCUCUUUAAAUGCAUCAGCGGAAGAAUGCAUCUUUUUUCCCUUCAGCGUGAUAAUCCUGUUGCGCUGUGUGUGGGUCAAAGGUGUUCCGCUUAUAAUCGUCCUUCGGACAAACGAACCCAUCUAUUUUUGACCUCAAAUCAGGUAGGACUACCCGCUGAACUUAAGCAUAUCAAUAA
RNAcentral lists this ribosomal RNA (319 nucleotides) under Amphinema sp. ITS-907ek. Its description in RNAcentral is "eukaryotic LSU rRNA". The stretch from base 1 to 71 matches the Rfam family "5.8S ribosomal RNA", at positions 84 to 154 of the family's 154-position model. The record is from RNAcentral. Lineage: Eukaryota; Fungi; Basidiomycota; Agaricomycetes; Atheliales; Atheliaceae.